RNAcentral lists this ribosomal RNA (468 nucleotides) under uncultured bacterium. RNAcentral describes it as "partial 16S ribosomal RNA". It matches the Rfam family "Bacterial small subunit ribosomal RNA", at positions 28 to 507 of the family's 1533-position model. The record is from RNAcentral.
GACGAACGCUGGCGGCGUGCUUAACACAUGCAAGUCGAACGGAAAGGCCUUGCUUUUGUGGGGUGCUCGAGUGGCGAACGGGUGAGUAACACGUGAGUAACCUGCCCUUGACUUUGGGAUAACUUCAGGAAACUGGGGCUAAUACCGGAUAGGAGCUCCUGCUGCAUGGUGGGGGUUGGAAAGUUUCGGCGGUUGGGGAUGGACUCGCGGCUUUUCAGCUUGUUGGUGGGGUAGUGGCUUACCAAGGCUUUGACGGGUAGCCGGCCUGAGAGGGUGACCGGCCACAUUGGGACUGAGAUACGGCCCAGACUCCUACGGGAGGCAGCAGUGGGGAAUAUUGCACAAUGGGCGGAAGCCUGAUGCAGCAACGCCGCGUGCGGGAUGACGGCCUUCGGGUUGUAAACCGCUUUCGCCUGUGACGAAGCGUGAGUGACGGUAAUGGGUAAAGAAGCACCGGCUAACUACGUG